RNAcentral lists this long non-coding RNA (204 nucleotides) under Mytilus galloprovincialis (Mediterranean mussel). The record is from RNAcentral. Lineage: Eukaryota; Metazoa; Mollusca; Bivalvia; Mytilida; Mytilidae.
AACAUGUCAAAAUGUACUAUUAUAUUGUUUAUUUAUGUCUUUGGUGUUCUUGUGUGUAUUUGUACUGUAUUCCCGCCAUGUAAUGUUGUCAUUUUACCGGUAUAUUUAACGUUGCCAUCCAGUCAGGAGGUUUGGCUAGCCACAAAACCAGAUUCGUUCCUCUUAUAGUUGAUGUGUUUCUCUCGGUUUGAGUUUGUACCCCGG